Molecule: unclassified non-coding RNA, 333 nt
Filed under: uncultured fungus
Lineage: Eukaryota; Fungi
Description: partial contains small subunit ribosomal RNA, internal transcribed spacer 1, and 5.8S ribosomal RNA
Rfam family: Eukaryotic small subunit ribosomal RNA (bases 1-73)
Source: RNAcentral
GCAAACUUGGUCAUUUAGAGGAAGUAAAAGUCGUAACAAGGUCAUCGUAGGUGAACCUGCGGUGGGAUCAUUACUGAUUCGGUGCAGCCGCGCGUUAGCGCGGCUGUGCCGUCGGCAGACGCCCUCGGGUGUCUGUCGGCACACCCAACGUGCGGAAGCUGUAUUUAACGUGGGCGUUGCUUCCUUCGGGGGGGCGGCGCCCGCUCGCUGUAAAGCGCUCGCUGUAAAAGCACUGCUGAGCUUGAUGUCCCUAUGGAGCGAUACAAACACAAAGCAAUAGUUACAACUAUACAUGGUGGAUCACUUGGCUCUCGCAUCGAUGAAGAACGCAGC